UAGUCAUACGCUUGUCUCAAAGACUAAGCCAUGCAUGUCUAAGUAUAAAUGAUAUACAGUGAAACUGCGAAUGGCUCAUUAAAACAGUUAUAGUUUAUUUGAUAAUCAAAUUUACAUGGAUAACCGUGGUAAUUCUAGAGCUAAUACAUGCUGGUUAGCCUGACUUCAAGGAAGGGCUGUAUUUAUUAGAUAACAAACCAAUAUUCCUCGUGUCUAUUGUGAUGAUUCAUAAUAACUGAUCGAAUCGCAUAGUCUUUGGCUGCGAUACGUCAUUCAAGUUUCUGCCCCAUCAGCUUUCGAUGGUAGUGUAUUGGACUACCAUGGCUUUAACGGGUGACGGAGGAUUAGGGUUCGAUUCCGGAGAGGGAGCCUGAGAAACGGCUACCACAUCUAAGGAAGGCAGCAGGCGCGUAAAUUACCCAAUCCUAAUUCAGGGAGGUAGUGACAAGAAAUAACGGACUGAGCCUUUGGUUCAGGAUUGCAAUGAGUAGAAUUUAAACCCCUUUACCAGGAUCAAUU
This 519-nucleotide ribosomal RNA is filed under the name uncultured eukaryote. RNAcentral's name for it is "SSU rRNA". It matches the Rfam family "Eukaryotic small subunit ribosomal RNA", at positions 21 to 549 of the family's 1831-position model. The record is from RNAcentral.